ACAGAAAUUAUAUUCACCUCGAUGCCCCCACACAUUAACAAGCCUGGAUCAGGUCCCCAUCCCGCCAUCCCCGAGGAGGCUGCACGUGGACAGGAAGCUGGGCUGUUCCUGCAAAGUUCUCACGGCGACCGCCAUCUUCUCCCUGCGGCAGGCUUGAGACUGCUUUACAGGCCGAGCCGGGCUAUGCCGCGCCGCCGAGGCGCGAAAGGACUGACAGCCGGGCUCAGCCAAUGACGAUGAGCGUUGUCUUCCGGCCUCAACCACUCAGCGACCGGAAGGGGGAAGAACCUGCAGCCUUUGUGACUCUGAGCCAAUGAAAAGUCAGCCAGGCAGUCAUCUCCCUCCCCAGUUAGCUGCGGGUGCCUGGAUCCCGCUGCUAGCGCAGAGUCGGGGCGGGUUUCACAAUCCCUGAGUUCUCGGAGACUUAGGCUCGCGAGUCUGCAGUUCUGGCAAGGGGAGCGCGGAGUUUUCUAGGCCUUUUAACCUAUGAUGUAAUGUGCCUUACACCGUUUUAACGUGAUCACAUCAGAGUGGGACUUA
Molecule: long non-coding RNA, 540 nt
Filed under: Homo sapiens (human)
Lineage: Eukaryota; Metazoa; Chordata; Mammalia; Primates; Hominidae
Description: PNN antisense RNA 1
Source: RNAcentral